RNAcentral lists this ribosomal RNA (774 nucleotides) under Triticum aestivum (bread wheat). RNAcentral describes it as "partial small subunit ribosomal RNA". The record is from RNAcentral. Lineage: Eukaryota; Viridiplantae; Streptophyta; Magnoliopsida; Poales; Poaceae.
AUGGACAACAAAUAUGAUGGCACACAAAAUCGUCUUGAGUCCACUCUUCAUUUUGAGUAUAAUUUGGCACCCGUCCAAGAUUCUGACCAGACCAAUGACAUGAACAAGUCAUCUAAUCUUUGUGUGAUACAUAUCCCAGACCUGCACCUUCAGAAGGAGGAUGACUUGGGCAUAUUGAAGCAAUGUAUUGACAAUUCUUUUUGCUUCAUGUGCUGUCAUCUUCGAGUUAUGGGACCACCAGGGGUUCAGGAAUGUCCCUCUCUCCUGCAAGAUAAGGAUCCUUCUCACAUGCAUCUUGUCAGUUUGGUAGUAAAGACCCUUCAGAAGCUGAUGGACUACAGCAGCCCUGCUGUUUCCCUGUUUAAAGAUUUGGGUGGUGUAGAGCUUUUGUCUCAGAGGUUACAUGUGGAGGUGCAGCGUGUUAUUGGCGUUGCUGACAGUCUUACUUCAGUGAUUGCUAGUGAUACAUUGAAAUUGGAAGAUGACCAUUUCUACUCACAGAAGCUGCCGAUUAAGGCUUUGCUCAAGGCAUUAGGUUCUGCUACAUAUUCUCCUGCAAAUCCUGCUUGCUUUCAAAGCUCCAAUGAUAAUUCCCUUGUAUUCCAGAAUGUUGGCAAGUUUGGUGGUGAUAUUUACAUCUCGUCAGUUACUGUUACGAUGUCGGGUCUGAAGCGCUGCCUUAUUGACAUGAUCGCAGUGGCCGACGUGGCUAUGGUGGAGCUCGAGCCCACAAAGCGCGUGCGGGAGCUAGUGGAGACGGAGCUGCAUGGGGGC